GACGAACGCUGGCGGCGUGCUUAACACAUGCAAGUCGAACGGAAAGGCCCUGCUUUUGUGGGGUGCUCGAGUGGCGAACGGGUGAGUAACACGUGAGUAACCUGCCCUUGACUUUGGGAUAACUUCAGGAAACUGGGGCUAAUACCGGAUAGGAGCUCCUGCUGCAUGGUGGGGGUUGGAAAGUUUCGGCGGUUGGGGAUGGACUCGCGGCUUAUCAGCUUGUUGGUGGGGGAGUGGCUUACCAAGGCUUUGACGGGUAGCCGGCCUGAGAGGGUGACCGGAGUCAGGGCGACUGAGGGACGGCCCAGUCGGGAAUGGUGGACAAUAGUGGGAAAUAUGGCACAGGGGGGGGGCGUCGGAGGAAACGACCGCGGGGUUGUAAAGACGGUUUGCGGGGGAAGAAAACGCAUAGCCGGUGACGCAGCGUGAGUGACGGUAACGUAAUAAGAAGCACCGGCUAACUACGUG
Molecule: ribosomal RNA, 468 nt
Filed under: uncultured bacterium
Lineage: Bacteria
Description: partial 16S ribosomal RNA
Rfam family: Bacterial small subunit ribosomal RNA
Source: RNAcentral